CACGCCGUAAACGAUGAGUGCUAAGUGUUGGAGGGUUUCCGCCCUUCAGUGCUGCAGCUAACGCAUUAAGCACUCCGCCUGGGGAGUACGGUCGCAAGACUGAAACUCAAAGGAAUUGACGGGGGCCCGCACAAGCGGUGGAGCAUGUGGUUUAAUUCGAAGCAACGCGAAGAACCUUACCAGGUCUUGACAUCCUCUGACAAUCCUAGAGAUAGGACUUUCCCUUCGGGGACAGAGUGACAGGUGG
RNAcentral lists this ribosomal RNA (247 nucleotides) under uncultured Bacilli bacterium. RNAcentral describes it as "partial 16S ribosomal RNA". It matches the Rfam family "Bacterial small subunit ribosomal RNA", at positions 796 to 1041 of the family's 1533-position model. Lineage: Bacteria; Bacillati; Bacillota; Bacilli. The record is from RNAcentral.